UUGGGAAUCUUCCGCAAUGGGCGAAAGCCUGACGGAGCGACACUGCGUGAGGGAAGAAGGCCUUCGGGUUGUAAACCUCUGUCGAGAGGGGAAGACCUCAGACGGUACCCUCAGAGGAAGCCCCGGCUAACUACGUGCCAGCAGCCGCGGUAAGACGUAGGGGGCGAGCGUUAUCCGGAAUUACUGGGCGUAAAGGGCGUGUAGGCGGUUAGGUGUAUCGAGGGUGAAAUCCCACGGCUCAACUGUGGGAAGACUCUCGAGAUUACCUAACUAGAGGGUAGAAGAGGGAGAUGGAAUUCCCGGUGUAGCGGUGAAUGCGUAGAUAUCGGGAAGAACGCCGGUGGUGAAGACGGUCUCCUGGGCUACUACUGACGCUGAGGCGCGAAAGCUAGGGGAGCGAACGG
This 404-nucleotide ribosomal RNA is filed under the name uncultured bacterium. RNAcentral's name for it is "bacterial SSU rRNA". It matches the Rfam family "Bacterial small subunit ribosomal RNA", at positions 355 to 775 of the family's 1533-position model. The record is from RNAcentral.